Molecule: long non-coding RNA, 506 nt
Organism: Oncorhynchus keta (chum salmon)
Lineage: Eukaryota; Metazoa; Chordata; Actinopteri; Salmoniformes; Salmonidae
Exons: 2
Source: RefSeq, a predicted model, not a curated record
ACCCUGGCUGCCUGACCAUUCUGCCUGCCUUGACCAUGAGCCCGUCUGCCACUCUACGUCCUGGACUCUGAUCUGGUUUUGACCUUUGACCUGUCCACGACCAUUCUCCUUUGGAUUAUUAAACCUUGUAAGACUCCAACCACCUGCCUCCUGGGUCUGCAUCUGGGUCUCGCCGUGUGCCUUAAUACUGCAUAUCUACACGUUUGUGCAACUACAUGGAGCCGAAUAAAUGUGCUUGUGUCAGGACACGCUGUACAUUCUAGUGAAUUUGGAGGUUCCAGUGUUCCCCCUCGACACUAUGAAGAUCGCGUUCUCAUCGUUGGCAGAAACGGGGAGGCAGAUCUCUUUGAUCAAGAGAACGUGUCACAAUCUCAGUGGUCUGUCUGGCGUGUCUGUGACUCAGUCUGACCGACAGACGUCACUGAACAGCAAUUCUAAUGGACCUAAAGAGCCAGAAUGAUAAAACUGUAAUAGUAGAGACCAAAUAAAGAGACUUGAGAUACUGA